GGCAGCCCAGAUGCGGGCUGAGGUUUUCCUGCAGGGGCGAGAGUUUCCAGGAGGACAGGUCGCUGUCUGAGUUUCAGCGGCAGAAUAGUUAUUCCCCCAGGGAGGACAGACUCCAAAGGAGAAGACCUUGGCUUUUGUUUUGCGAGGCUGGGAAGGUAAAACGGUAGCAGAGUCGCCCCUGUGUCAGGCCAGCACGUUAUGGUGAGAACACCAAGAGGUCCUGGCACCUUCCCUCAAGCAUCCAGAUGUCCCGGCCUGGCUCGUAAGUGGGUUGGAAAGGCAGCGGUCAGCCAUUCGCUGCUGCUGCUCUCACAGGCACGCGGUAUGCCAUGCGGGACGGUCUUCCCGCACGAUGCGGAGUCCCCGCCUCUCACUGGCCUGAAGCCACAGGGUGGCUGUUUCUGAGGAGCCGGUCUCCAGUCUCCUCGGUGCGGAUGCCCCUGCCCCUCCGGGGGCACAUUCAAAGCUCAGAUUGCUUAAGGCAGUAAAUUCCCCUCCCUGGCCAUCCUGUCCCCUUCAGCAGCCCCUCGUAGGUUGUCUCAGCCCGAGAGCUUAGCAGCUCGGGCUUCGCAGGAGGCAGUGAGGCACAGCUGCUCUGAGGACCCCCCAUGCCCGGGAGCAGCCCUGUACGGGAGGCUGGUGCCGGCCCUGACUGUGCGGCCUAGAGACUGGGGUCGGGACAUCAGUUGCCAGCCCUGGGCCUGGCUCUGCGUGGGGAGCAGCGAGCUUGGGCCGCACCUGCUUUAGGACUCCUCGGUUCUGUACCCACCACGAGUAGGAACACACUGGCCAGGAAGAUUUUUGCUCGUGGAGCCCCAUGAAGCCGUUGCAAUGCUCUGCGCUUGGUUUUCAUGUUCUUCCAGUGCGGUGUGUUCGCCACCCCCUCGGCUGUGGUGUUACAGCAAACCCUGGGUAGUUCGGGCACAGGAAGCCCUCUAACUCGGAGGGGACCUCCCUUCCAAGAGGCCGGCAGUGCCCCCAGGAGGCUGGAGAGCGGAUCCCAGAGAGCAGGUGGGCUGGGCCUUCCUGGCCCAUGGCCAGAGGUGCACACACACUUACCUGCGUCUCCCUGAGCUGUGUGCUUUGGGGUGGGUGGCCUUGCCACCUGCCCUCCCUCCCCCACCCCCUCUGUGGAAGCUCAGCUCUGCGUAUGCUGGCCCCGCUGUCUGGGCCGAGGCCUGGCCUGGACAGGAGUGGCCGGUGCGAGUCUCCAGGGCCUGGAAAGGGGGGAAGGCCUUCCGGAGUGUGGCCCGCAGGUGCAGCUCACCCUCGUUUCCCAGGAGCUCUGAGCAGCCCCGUGCUUGCUGCAGACACCUGCUCUGACGCCAGGCUCUGCUGGAGGGACAAGGAUGACACCGCUGCCUCUGUUCUGCACCUUCGCCCUGGGGUGGGGGUGGGGUGAGGUCGGGUCGGGGUCCCGUCUACUCAGUAUCAACCCCCUUGCUUGUCCCAGGACGGUUUUCUGCGGUCCCUGAAGCUCCCUUACUGACCUGCAAGCGGCAGUUGAGAGAGAACAGUCCAGUCGGCUGGCGGGUGCGCGUGUUUAUCCCCAGCCCCACCUGUGUGGGCUGCCUGGGGACCUGGAUGGCGUGACCGUGCUACAUUCUGCUCCCGUGGCCGUCCUCCUCCUGCCGCACGUCCUGCUGUGCCUCUGCUCGUCUCCGUGCAGCCCAGCACGGCCGGAGUAGAGCCGGCUCUCCCCAAGAGCACCCCUGCCCCGGCCACUAGCUUUCCCAGGGGCUCCCGCCACCCCGAGGGAGGUCACUUCUGCAGACCGUUGCCCACAGCCCGUUGUGGGGCCUCUGGUCUCCCGUCCCUCUGUAAGGCUGCUGUCUCAGUGGGGGGCGGCGCCCCGGGAUCGGAGGGCGCCCGGCUUGGCCGUGAGCUCAUGGUGGCGUCCACGGGAGCUUCACGCUCCCACAGGCAUCCCCGGGGAGCAGAGAACAGCGUGGCCAGCCAGCUUGCGUGUCCCGGGUGCCUCCGUGCGAUGUGCUCGUCACGUGGGCGGCAGGAGCAGCUCUUUAACCUUCUUCGUUGACAGAACUUCGUUUGUAAAUCUUUUUUGCCUUCUUACCCAGCUCAGUUGUGAACUUUAUAGUUUACUCAUCUGGAAAUCACGCCAUUCAUUGAUCUCUGCCCUUGAUUCUAAAACCAUUAGAGGGAAAAAACCACAGGGCCGGCUUCGAAAGGCGUUCGUUCCUCAGACCGUUCAGUAGGUUGGUUAGUUAGGUGUGCGUUGCGUCAGAUCGCUGACUUUCUCUUCUUUGGGUUCUCUUCAUCUCCCCUGGGCAGUUCCCAUUUGAAAGUCAUUUUACAAAACCGAGCAGCGAAACCACGCCCACACACACACUCCCGCUCUGCUUAACGGCAGGGUCGCUCGGCAGGGUCCCUCUCCGGUAGAACAGAGCCGGGAACAGGAGCCCCAAGGGCGGCUUUCUGCAGGAGCUAGCCAGCGAUGGCUGCCACUGUCGUUCGUGCUGUUCAAGAGUAAAUGCAAACCGUGUGUGUUGAGUGUGUGGUUUUAGGUGUUCCUUCUGAACUGAAAUUGGAAAACGAGCUCAGUGUCUAGAAUUUUCUUGGUACACGUGUGAAUUGCUGGGUUUGUUCUCACUAAUUCAGUGCCUCUGGCUGUGUGAAUUGUUUUUUUGUUUUGUUUUUAAAGAUUUUAUUUAUUUGGCAGACAGAGAUCACAAGCAGGCAGAGAGACAAGCAGAGACAGAGGGGGAGGCAGGCUCCCUGCCGAGCAGAAAUCCUGAUGUGGGGCAUGGUCACAGGACCCCGGAAUCAUGACCCGAGCCGAAGGCUGAGGCUUUAACCUGCUGAGCCACCCAGGCACCCCGGCUGUGUGAAUUUUAAAUUUAUAUUUCAACAAUCACGGAGCCAAGGUAGAGGCAGCCAGGAGGCCACUAGAAGCAGCUGUGUGGCCCUCCAGGGUGCUGUGCUGGGGAGCGCCAGGAGGGGGAGUUUCCCAGUUGGGAGAGCUGGGGUUUGUGCUUUCGGACUCACCACGGAGUGUCUGUGGUGUGUUAAGCUAUAAACAAGGAAGCCGUGGCCGGAGGGUCCCUGGCUGCUGUCUGGCUGCUGAGAUGGGGCCCACGAUGGUGCAUCAGAGUCAGGCUGAGGCAUGGGAUUCUAAGCCCAGAGUAGGUGACUGUGCCUCACAGUGCACUUGUCACUUCAGCAUCCCACCUGGCAUGUCUGAGUUUCUCUGUGGCCUUUGGGCCAGGGGAGACCCACAGCCUGUGCCCGUCGUGCGGUAGUUGGUGGGACUCUGUGGGAAGGGGCAAGGAAAGGUGUAGGAAGUGGGAGCUGCCUGGGGGACACCUGGUGCGCUUGCUUAGCUGGUGGCCCAAGGCCCUGGGCUGUCCUGUGUUAAUAAUUGCCAUUCACUGUGUGCUGAAGGCAUUUGUCUGGAGAAGAAAAUGCGACUUCAGACAGGCUAUGACUGGCAGUCGAGACAAGAGUGUCUGGGAUAGGGCUGUCUCCCACAGUCACCCCACCACCACCACCCCAGAAUAUAUCUGUGACUCCCGCCGUGACGUCAUACUCAGACUGGCCCUUGGCUGUCCUGUCUCCACUGCACUUGGACCUUCACACUUGACCCCCUUUUUUUCUCCCCAGAGAAGGAGCCGGUCCUCUUCCACGGCUCCACCUUCCCUCACCCCAGCCCCACCCCAUUCGUCAAGUUCUGCAGGGGACGGUUCUCACUCCACCCCGGGCCUAGAAUGCAGCCGGAUCAGGGUGGAGUGUGGCCGAGUCCCUUCUGCCCAGUUGGCGAGGUUUCACACACGUGCCACACCAGCCACUGCCUUCAUAAUCAGGCCUCAGAGCUCAGGCAGCCUGGUUCCGGCCCACAUUCUUACUCUGUCGAAAGAUUAGGUUACAGCAGGGACCCUGGGCCAACUUCAGGAGACUCAGUCUAGGUAGCAAGAGACAGUGCCUUCCUGAGGCAGCUGGAGGCCGGGGACGGGGGUCCUGGGCCUUGCCACGCAGGAGCAGAACAGGUGUGGAGUGGGACCUUAGAAUGGAACAUCCAAAAGGUGAGUGAGCCGAGGGCAGGCGGAAAGGGCUGUUCGCUAGGACUCCGUGCCCUCUGGGGAUGACAGAGAAGGCCGAGCCGCCAGGGACUCUGUCGGGCUAGCUGGGAAGGCGACAGCCUGCAAAGGCCCGGCAGGACCGCAGGACCGACCAUCACUCCUUGUUCACAGCGGCUGCUCCCGGGCCCUGCCGGCCGGAGCACAGGGAGAGUCCCUCAGACCCGACCCCGUUGCCCGCCUGCCUGCUUGCUCCUUGGCCUGGCCGUGCGCUGCCCGUGGGCACCGGGCGCUGACGGGGCUAUGGCGGGAGGCAUCCCUUCCGCCAUGGCUUGUUCUGAGAAAGAGGUUUGAGUGAGAGAGCCAUCAGCAGGAGACGUUCAGCAGAGAUCAUAGCUGCUGCAACCCAGAAGGAAAUCCGAAACCUUCAUCUUUUAUCAGUCUAUGUUUUUUAAAAGUUCACUCAUUAAUUUCCCUAUGUAGGUUUAAUUUUUGUUUCCCUCAGGAAGAUAGCGUCCGGUUUGAAGCACAGCAGACUGACUGACUUGAUUUUAUUUAUUUAUUUAUUUUUUU
Lutra lutra (Eurasian river otter) is the source of this 4607-nucleotide long non-coding RNA. RefSeq lists it as uncharacterized. The transcript is spliced from 2 exons. The record is from RefSeq and is a predicted model, not a curated record. Lineage: Eukaryota; Metazoa; Chordata; Mammalia; Carnivora; Mustelidae.